UACGAAGGGGGCUAGCGUUGCUCGGAAUCACUGGGCGUAAAGGGUGCGUAGGCGGGUUUUUAAGUCAGGGGUGAAAUCCUGGAGCUCAACUCAGAACUGCCUUUGAUACUGAAAAUCUUGAGUAUGGGAGAGGUGAGUGGAACUGCGAGUGUAGAGGUGAAAUUCGUAGAUAUUCGCAAGAACACCAGUGGCGAAGGCGGCUCACUGGCCCAUAACUGACGCUGAGGCACGAAAGCGUGGGGAGCAAACGGG
RNAcentral lists this ribosomal RNA (252 nucleotides) under uncultured bacterium. RNAcentral describes it as "partial 16S ribosomal RNA". It matches the Rfam family "Bacterial small subunit ribosomal RNA", at positions 524 to 776 of the family's 1533-position model. The record is from RNAcentral.